CCCUUAGACGUUCUGGGCCGCACGCGCGCUACACUGACCAGUGCAACAAGCAUCCGUCCUUGGCCGACAGGCCCGGGCAAUCUUUGAACGCUGGUCGUGAUGGGGAUAGACUUUUGCAAUUUUUGGUCUUCAACGAGGAAUUCCUAGUAAACGCAAGUCAGCAACUUGCAUUGAUUACGUCCCUGCCCUUUGUACACACCGCCCGUCGCACCUACCGAUUGAAUGGUCCGGUGAAGCCUCCGGAUUGGCGCGCACCUCGGUGCCGCCGAGAAGUUGGCUAAACCUUACCAUUUAGAGGAAGGUGAAGUCGUAACA
This 315-nucleotide ribosomal RNA is filed under the name uncultured eukaryote. RNAcentral's name for it is "partial 18S ribosomal RNA". It matches the Rfam family "Eukaryotic small subunit ribosomal RNA", at positions 1470 to 1796 of the family's 1831-position model. The record is from RNAcentral.